Long non-coding RNA from Armigeres subalbatus, 981 nucleotides. RefSeq lists it as uncharacterized. Lineage: Eukaryota; Metazoa; Arthropoda; Insecta; Diptera; Culicidae. The record is from RefSeq and is a predicted model, not a curated record. The transcript is spliced from 3 exons.
UCAUUUUCAGCCGUUCAAAAACAUGUGUAAAUUUUUCAUUCGCAUCGAUAUGUAAAUAUUAUGUAGUUAUUUUAUGCGCGGUGAUCUCAGGGUGAAACCGGUGAAAAGCUAUAAACUGUUUUUUUGUGAUUUUUGCUUAGGUUUGACGACAUCCUCUUACUGUAGUACUCAUAAUUGCCUGCUUGUUAUGCUUACGAUUCAAUUUAAAAAACUUGCUCUAAGGGCGGAUCGUGGUGCGUCUUCGGUUCGGUCUUGUCAUCGAUUGAAAAAUGGUCAAAAAUGUGUAGUGCACGGCUGCAAAAGCCGCACCGGCUUUACGGUUUUAUUUUACGGAUUUCCAAAUGAUCCUGAAACGCUGGCAAUGUCAUGCCGGAAACAGCAUUGGAAAGUCGUGUCGAAAAACAUCGGAAACUACCGCUAGCUGCCACAAGAUGUGGGUCGUCCAUACUCGCCUCUCCACCGAAUGCUUAAAUGAAAUCGAUCGUCAGUCGCAUGAAGAAAAUGUGGAACCAUCGAUUGGAACCACGAACCCCUUCCAGUGCCAAAUCGUUGCCGAGUGAUAAAAGCGGAAGAUUGACUAGAAUUGAACUAUACGAGGAACAUCUGGGUUUCAUUGCCACCUCGCGGUGAAAUCAGAAAAGCGCUGGAAAAUUUCACUCACUCGUGUGUCCUGAGGCUGGCACGAGGGUAUUCCCGCCCUUUCAAAAACAAAGCCAAGCAAGUGUUGAGGAAACUCGUAACCUUAACUGCAAACCCAUGGCAUCAGCUGGUCGAUAAUCGUCUAUCCCGCGCAUCCCUGAAGGUGACCAACGCGUGUGCAAUUCGAUCCUAAUGGAGGCUCGCUACCAAGUGAUCAAAGAGCCGAUUGACACAACGGACGCGAAGCAGUACCGAGCGAAAGAAGCUGAAGACAAACCGGAAUUCAACUUAGGAACAGGAGAACAAUCUGGAUAUCAGUCUCAUUUCGCGGUGGAAAUAGAA